RNAcentral lists this ribosomal RNA (165 nucleotides) under Veronica propinqua. Its description in RNAcentral is "5.8S ribosomal RNA". It matches the Rfam family "5.8S ribosomal RNA". Rfam says of the family: 5.8S ribosomal RNA (5.8S rRNA) is a component of the large subunit of the eukaryotic ribosome. It is transcribed by RNA polymerase I as part of the 45S precursor that also contains 18S and 28S rRNA. Lineage: Eukaryota; Viridiplantae; Streptophyta; Magnoliopsida; Lamiales; Plantaginaceae. The record is from RNAcentral.
UAAACGACUCUCGGCAACGGAUAUCUCGGCUCUCGCAUCGAUGAAGAACGUAGCGAAAUGCGAUACUUGGUGUGAAUUGCAGAAUCCCGUGAACCAUCGAGUCUUUGAACKCAAGUUGCKCCCGAAGCCUUCUGGCCGAGGGCACKCCUGCCUGGGCGUCACGCA